CACCGGCGGCUCGAGUGGUGGCCACUUUUAUUGGGUCUAAAGCGUCCGUAGCCGGCUUGGCAAGUCCCCUGGGAAAUCUGGCGGCUUAACCGUCAGGCGUCCAGAGGAUACUGCCAGGCUUGGGACCGGGAGAGGUGAGAGGUACCUCAGGGGUAGGGGUGAAAUCUUGUGAUCCCUGAGGGACCACCAGUGGCGAAGGCAUCUCACUAGAACGGGUCCGACGGUCAGGGACGAAAGCUGGGGGCACGAACCGG
Molecule: ribosomal RNA, 254 nt
Filed under: uncultured microorganism
Description: partial 16S ribosomal RNA
Rfam family: Archaeal small subunit ribosomal RNA
Source: RNAcentral